CCUACGGGCGGCAGCAGUCGAGAAUCUUUCACAAUGGGGGAAACCCUGAUGGUGCGACGCCGCGUGGGGGAAUGAAGGUCUUCGGAUUGUAAACCCCUGUCAUGUGGGAGCAAAUUAAAAAGAUAGUACCACAAGAGGAAGAGACGGCUAACUCUGUGCCAGCAGCCGCGGUAAUACAGAGGUCUCAAGCGUUGUUCGGAAUCACUGGGCGUAAAGCGUGCGUAGGCUGUUUCGUAAGUCGUGUGUGAAAGGCGCGGGCUCAACCCGCGGACGGCACAUGAUACUGCGAGACUAGAGUAAUGGAGGGGGAACCGGAAUUCUCGGUGUAGCAGUGAAAUGCGUAGAUAUCGGGAGGAACACUCGUGGCGAAGGCGGGUUACUGGACAUUAACUGACGCUGAGGCACGAAGGCGAGGGGAGCGAAAGGGAUUAGAUACCCUGGUAGUC
RNAcentral lists this ribosomal RNA (446 nucleotides) under uncultured bacterium. RNAcentral's name for it is "partial 16S ribosomal RNA". It matches the Rfam family "Bacterial small subunit ribosomal RNA", at positions 338 to 795 of the family's 1533-position model. The record is from RNAcentral.